AUCAGUUGUGGUAGCGACGGGCCCAGCGAGCCUAUUGACUGCGGCUCAGUCUGUGACUGGCGUGGGAGGAGCGUCGAAGGCGUUUACACUCUCCAACCUUGCAUAUAAGCACCUCACCUCACGGGACGUUCAACGUGUGCUUCUCCUUCGCAGUCCCGAUGGCUGACUUGGCUUUGACUUCAGCUCCCGUUCGGGUGCUCGCCAACGCCGAUGAAUCUUCACCACUUUCGCGAAGAACCUCCACACCUCGUGUUACACUUUGCGCUGAUCUUCCACGAUCGCCUGCCCUGAAUUCAAUUGCUCCUGGAAAAGCUGUACCGGAAGAAGCCACCACACGUCCGCAAAUGCCGGAGCCAGUGGCCGCCCUUCCCACCAGUAUCGUUGACCCCGUUGGUACAGAGAUGCCGCCUCUGCUGUUUCCCAACCGGUCGUACCACCCCGAAGACCCCACAGAUACAACAGGCGGCCUCCUCCCUCCUAACACUGUACCAACAUGUCGUACCUUAGCCGUCCUCCUCAGACUCCGAGUGAUUCAAAUCGUCUUGGGCAUCAUCACCGUUGUCCUUGGCACUUCUGCUUGCCUGGAUCAGCAGGCAAGGAACAUGCUCUGCUUUGGUGUUCCGGCAGGGUGCCUCACUGUACUGGCUGCGUGCGGACGUGUAGGCGGUGCAAGACAUGUCGGUCCUGGAUUUGAACACCUUAGAAUUUCUUGCGCAGGACGAGGUGUUUUGUGCUUGGCAUUGGUGAGUGUUGUGGCGAAUGGAUUUUUGGUAGCGUUGUCGCUGUUCGUAGCGGGAAGAUCUACUUCAACGGCGAAUGUUAGGACCCUGGGAGUGGUGCUGUCAAGUUCGGCUUUAUCCAUGCUCAUCGUCGAAGCGACGGCCGCAUUUGUGCGCUGGCAUUGGACGCGAGGAAAGGUGGCAGACAGAUGAGACGGCGACGAAUGACGGGAUAGGGAAGGUAUCAUUCCACAAAUUUACUAAGGAUCCAGCCAUUUGAAAAAAGUGGAUUGUGGACAUAAGAAGAGACAAAGGAAAGCGCUUCACAAGAAGCCAGACAGGUAACCAAGGUAUGCUCAAGGCAGUUUAUUGACUCGGACUUUGUUCCAAUGAUGGACAAAGAUGGACCAAGAUGGACAAACUAAAUCAAGAUGAUUUUGGAAGCUUGGUACUGAGAACCAACUCUACCUACUGCUUACAAACUGGAAGCUGGGUUCUUAGACCAGCACGUAGGACAUCUUUUCGACAUCUCAUAGGCAACGGUGUCAAAAAUUUUCAACAGUUGCAUUAAUGCUCUGUACAUGGAAUUCCCUGCCAUUGCUGCCAUUAUGACUCUCACGUUCUUACAUCGGUGAGACCGUGCCACCAACUUUUAUGGAAAAGUUCCCUUCAUCCAUUGUGGUCAUCGAUGCCUCAAAAAUUAAGUGCAAAGUUCUGAGCUUAUUUUUUUAGCUCCUUUUGAGCUUAUUUAUUGAGCUCCGUGUCCGGGAGGAGAUGUGUAAUCAAAAGCGGCUUCUUGGAGCUGUCAUUUGAACCUGGUGACUGGAUUAUGGCCGACAAAGGGUUCAAGAUGGAAUAUCUGCUACGUAAGAAGAAUGUGAAGUUGAACAUACCACCGUUUUUGUGCGAAAGUCAGUCUUCUGGAGAAGAGGUACGUGAAACUCAGGACAUUGAAGCAGUAAGGAUUCACGUGGAGAGGAAGAUGCAGAGGAUAAAAGCGUUCUACAUAUUUGACAGGUGCAUUCCAAUAUCAUUAACACCUUUGGCGAACCAAAAAUAGACUGUAUAUGCCACACUCACAAACAUGGACUCAGUGUUCAUUAAACAGGUUUUGAGUGAC
Molecule: long non-coding RNA, 1839 nt
Organism: Ornithodoros turicata
Lineage: Eukaryota; Metazoa; Arthropoda; Arachnida; Ixodida; Argasidae
Exons: 3
Source: RefSeq, a predicted model, not a curated record